This 76-nucleotide transfer RNA is filed under the name Salmonella enterica. RNAcentral's name for it is "tRNA-Val". It matches the Rfam family "tRNA". Rfam says of the family: Transfer RNA (tRNA) molecules are approximately 80 nucleotides in length. Their secondary structure includes four short double-helical elements and three loops (D, anti-codon, and T loops). Further hydrogen bonds mediate the characteristic L-shaped molecular structure. tRNAs have two regions of fundamental functional importance: the anti-codon, which is responsible for specific mRNA codon recognition, and the 3' end, to which the tRNAs corresponding amino acid is attached (by aminoacyl-tRNA synthetases). tRNAs cope with the degeneracy of the genetic code in two manners: having more than one tRNA (with a specific anti-codon) for a particular amino acid; and 'wobble' base-pairing, i.e. permitting non-standard base-pairing at the 3rd anti-codon position. The record is from RNAcentral. Lineage: Bacteria; Pseudomonadati; Pseudomonadota; Gammaproteobacteria; Enterobacterales; Enterobacteriaceae.
GGGUGAUUAGCUCAGCUGGGAGAGCACCUCCCUUACAACGAGGGGGUCGGCGGUUCGAUCCCGUCAUCACCCACCA